RNAcentral lists this transfer RNA (74 nucleotides) under Aeromicrobium terrae. It matches the Rfam family "tRNA". From Rfam's summary of the family: Transfer RNA (tRNA) molecules are approximately 80 nucleotides in length. Their secondary structure includes four short double-helical elements and three loops (D, anti-codon, and T loops). Lineage: Bacteria; Bacillati; Actinomycetota; Actinomycetes; Propionibacteriales; Nocardioidaceae. The record is from Rfam by way of RNAcentral.
GCUCCCGUAGCCCAAUCGGCAGAGGCAGGCGGCUUAAACCCGCCCCAGUGUGGGUUCGAGCCCCACCGGGAGCA